CCUACGGGUGGCAGCAGUGGGGAAUAUUGGACAAUGGGGGGAACCCUGAUCCAGCGACGCCGCGUGAGUGAAGAAGUAUUUCGGUAUGUAAAGCUCUAUCAGCAGGGAAGAAAGAAAUGACGGUACCUGACUAAGAAGCCCCGGCUAACUACGUGCCAGCAGCCGCGGUAAUACGUAGGGGGCAAGCGUUAUCCGGAUUUACUGGGUGUAAAGGGAGCGUAGACGGCGAUGCAAGUCUGAAGUGAAAGGCGGGGGCUCAACCCCCGGACUGCUCUGGAAACUGUACGGCUGGAGUGCAGGAGAGGUAAGUGGAAUUCCUAGUGUAGCGGUGAAAUGCGUAGAUAUUAGGAGGAACACCAGUGGCGAAGGCGGCUUACUGGACUGUAACUGACGUUGAGGCUCGAAAGCGUGGGGAGCAAACAGGAUUAGAUACCCCUGUAGUC
This 443-nucleotide ribosomal RNA is filed under the name uncultured bacterium. RNAcentral's name for it is "partial 16S ribosomal RNA". It matches the Rfam family "Bacterial small subunit ribosomal RNA", at positions 338 to 795 of the family's 1533-position model. The record is from RNAcentral.